UUUCCUUGAGCUUAGUUUGUAGAGCAUUGCACGAACAAUGUAAAGGUUGUGGGUUCACAUCCCAGGGAAAA
Non-coding RNA from Danionella cerebrum, 71 nucleotides. Lineage: Eukaryota; Metazoa; Chordata; Actinopteri; Cypriniformes; Danionidae. The record is from the annotation of a GenBank genome assembly.